CGUACCAAAGCCUAUCAAACUCCGAAUGCCAAAAAAUCAGGUCAUGGAGUCAGACUUAGAGGGAUAAGCUCCUAAGUCGAAAGGGAAAGAGCCCAGACCGACAGCUAAGGUCCCCAAAUCUGGAUUAAGUGGAAAAGGAUGUGAACCUACCAAGACAACCAGGACGUUGGCUUAGAAGCAGCCAUACAUUCAAAGAAUGCGUAAUAGCUCACUGGUCAAGUGGGUUUGCGCCGAAAAUAAACGGGGCUAAAAUCCAGUACCGAAGCUUCGGAUUGAUAGAGAAUUUAAAAUUGCUAGACCUAACUCAAUUUAUGAAAUAAAUUGUAAGUAGGUCAGCCGUCAGACUUUCCCAAGAGAGCAAAGCUCGAUUGGCAAGAAAGUUACGACGCUCAUCAACCUAACAAAGUAAUGAGAAAAAAGGUAAAACUUAGACGGAAAUAUUAAACACAAACAAGAUAAACGAGUUAUCGAAAAAUUACGCAAAUAUCAAACACUAAAGAAAAAGGUAAGUUGUAAAAGAACUCAAUUAUCACCGAACAAGCAGUCAUAAAACAAAAGUUAAAAAUGACAACUGGUUGAAAUAUCGUCAAAGUAUUUACCAGCAAUUUUAAACUCUCUAUCAGUGGUAGAGGAGCAUUGUAUUAGGGAAGAAGCCCAAGCGAAAGCAGGUGUGGACUUAAUACAAGAGAGAAUGCUGGCAUGAGUAGCGAGAAGGAGAGUGAGAAUCUCUCCCGUCGAAACCCUAAGGACUCCUGAGCAAGGCUCGUCCCCUCAGGGAAAGUCGGGACCUAAGGCCAGGCCGAAAGGCGUAGCCGAUGGACAACAGGUUUAGAUUCCUGUACCGCUUAAAGUCGUUAAAGAGACGUGAUGACGCAAGAGGAUAAGCUAGCUGCCUGAUGGAAGGCAGUCUAAGCACAAAGGCUUUUCAGUAGGCAAAUCCGCUGAUCAGCAGCCAAUGUGUAAUAGGCAUCGAAAACAUAAGUAGAGAAAUAGCCGACUUCAAAUUGCCAAGAAAAGUCACUAUCAAGACCAAAGCGCCCGUACCAAAACCGACACAGGUAGGGAGGUAGAGAAUACCAAGACGCGCGGAAGAACCUUUGUUAAGGAACUCGGCAAAAUGUCCCCGUAAGUUAGCGAGAAGGGGAGCCUGAGCGAUCAGGCCACAGAAACCAGGCCCAAGCGACUGUUUACCAAAAACACAAGUUUCUGCAAAAUCGAAAGAUGACGUAUAGGAGCUGACACCUGCCCGGUGCUGGAAGGUUAAGGGGAAGGCUUAGAGCAAUCGAAGGCUAGAACUUAAGCCCCAGUAAACGGCGGCCGUAACUAUAACGGUCCUAAGGUAGCGAAAUUCCUUGUCGGGUAAGUUCCGACCCGCACGAAAGGUGUAACGAUUUGGGCACUGUCUCAACAAAGGAUCCGGUGAAAUUGUAGUAGUCGUGAAGAUGCGACUUACCCACGCUAGGACGGAAAGACCCCGUGGAGCUUUACUGUAGGCUGAUAUUGGAUUUUGAGAUUAGACGUACAGGAUAGUUGGGAGACAAUGAAGUGUGUACGCCAGUAUACACAGAGUCACCCUUGGGAUACCAACCCUCUAAUAUCAAAAUUCUAACAUUGACCCAUGAAUCUGGGCAAUGGACAUUGUCAGUUUGGCAGUUUGACUGGGGCGGUCGCCUCCCAAAAAGUAACGGAGGCGUUCAAAGGUUCGCUCAGAAUGGACGGAAACCAUUCGCAGAGUACAAAGGCACAAGCGAGCUUAACUGCGAGAUAUACAGAUCAAGCAGAGUAGAAAUACGGACUUA
This 1799-nucleotide ribosomal RNA is filed under the name metagenome. Its description in RNAcentral is "bacterial LSU rRNA". It matches the Rfam family "Bacterial large subunit ribosomal RNA", at positions 935 to 2414 of the family's 2925-position model. The record is from RNAcentral.